This 253-nucleotide ribosomal RNA is filed under the name uncultured bacterium. RNAcentral's name for it is "partial 16S ribosomal RNA". It matches the Rfam family "Bacterial small subunit ribosomal RNA", at positions 524 to 776 of the family's 1533-position model. The record is from RNAcentral.
UACAGAGGGGGCAAGCGUUGUUCGGAAUUACUGGGCGUAAAGCGUGCGCAGGCGGUUUUGUAAGCCAGAUGUGAAAUCCCCGGGCUCAACCUGGGAAUGGCAUUUGGGACUGCAAGGCUGGAGUUUGGCAGAGGAGACUGGAAUUCCUGGUGUAGCAGUGAAAUGCGUAGAUAUCAGGAGGAAUACCGAUGGCGAAGGCAGGUCUCUGGGCUAUAACUGACGCUCAUGCACGAAAGCGUGGGGAGCAAACAGG